RNAcentral lists this ribosomal RNA (274 nucleotides) under uncultured bacterium. Its description in RNAcentral is "partial 16S ribosomal RNA". It matches the Rfam family "Bacterial small subunit ribosomal RNA", at positions 523 to 796 of the family's 1533-position model. The record is from RNAcentral.
AUACGGAGGGUCCAAGCGUUAUCCGGAAUCAUUGGGUUUAAAGGGUGCGCAGGCGGUUUAUUAAGUCAGUGGUGAAAUCUCGGGGCUCAACUCCGAAACUGCCAUUGAUACUGAUAAACUUGAGUUCAGUUGGAGUAGGCGGAAUGUGUAGUGUAGCGGUGAAAUGCUUAGAUAUUACACAGAACACCGAUAGCGAAGGCAGCUUACUAAACUGAUACUGACGCUGAGGCACGAAAGCGUGGGGAGCGAACAGGAUUAGAAACCCUAGUAGUCC